GAUGAACGCUGGCGGUAUGCUUAACACAUGCAAGUCGAACGGACUCUUCGGAGUUAGUGGCGGACGGGUGAGUAACGCGUGAGAAUCUGGCUUUGGGUUCGGGACAACCACUGGAAACGGUGGCUAAUACCGGAUGUGCCGAGAGGUAAAAGAGAAAUUGCCUGAAGAUGAGCUCGCGUCUGAUUAGCUAGUUGGUGAGGUAAAGGCUCACCAAGGCAGCGAUCAGUAGCUGGUCUGAGAGGAUGACCAGCCACACUGGGACUGAGACACGGCCCAGACUCCUAGGGGAGGCAGCAGUGGGGAAUGUUCCGCAAUGGGCGAAAGCCUGACGGAGCAAUACCGCGUGAGGGAAGAAGGCUCUUGGGUUGUAAACCUCUUUUCUUAGGGAAGAACAAAAUGACGGUACCUAAGGAAUCAGCAUCGGCUAACUCCGUG
This 435-nucleotide ribosomal RNA is filed under the name uncultured bacterium. RNAcentral describes it as "partial 16S ribosomal RNA". It matches the Rfam family "Bacterial small subunit ribosomal RNA", at positions 28 to 507 of the family's 1533-position model. The record is from RNAcentral.